RNAcentral lists this ribosomal RNA (756 nucleotides) under uncultured bacterium. RNAcentral describes it as "bacterial SSU rRNA". It matches the Rfam family "Bacterial small subunit ribosomal RNA", at positions 8 to 796 of the family's 1533-position model. The record is from RNAcentral.
AGAGUUUGAUCCUGGCUCAGAAUCAACGCUGGCGGCGCGCUUAACACAUGCAAGUCGAGCGAGAAAGGGGAGCAAUCCCUGAGUAAAGCGGCGUACGGGUGAGUAACACGUGGAUAAUCUACCUUUUAGUGGGGAAUAACUUUGGGAAACCGAAGCUAAUACCGCAUAAGCCUGAGAAGGGAAAGCAGCAAUGCGCUGGAAGAGGAGUCCGCGGCCGAUUAGCUAGUUGGUGGGGUAAGAGCCUACCAAGGCGACGAUCGGUAGCCGGCCUGAGAGGGCACACGGCCACACUGGCACCGAAACACGGGCCAGACUCCUACGGGAGGCAGCAGUGGGGAAUCUUGCACAAUGGAGGCAACUCUGAUGCAGCGACGCCGCGUGAGCGAUGAAGCCCUUCGGGGUGUAAAGCUCUUUCGACGGGGACGAUAAUGACGGUACCCGGAGAAGAAGCUGCGGCUAACUACGUGCCAGCAGCCGCGGUAAUACGUAGGCAGCGAGCGUUGUUCGGAAUUACUGGGCGUAAAGAGUGUGUAGGCGGUGCUCUAAGUUCGGUGUGAAAUCUUCUGGCUUAACUGGGAGGGUGCGCCGGAAACUGGAGUGCUUGAGCGUGGGAGAGGAAAGCGGAAUUCCUGGUGUAGCGGUGAAAUGCGUAGAUAUCAGGAGGAACACCUGCGGUGUAGACGGCUUUCUGGACCAUGGCUGACGCUGAGACACGAAAGCGUGGGUAGCAAACAGGAUUAGAUACCCUGGUAGUCC